UACGUAGGGGCCUAGCGUUGUCCGGAUUUAUUGGGCGUAAAGAGCUCGUAGGCGGUUCGGCAAGUCGGAUGUGAAAUCUCCACGCUCAACGUGGAGGGGCCAUUCGAAACUGCCGUGACUCGAGUCCGGUAGGGGAGUGUGGAAUUCCCGGUGUAGCGGUGAAAUGCGCAGAGAUCGGGAGGAACAUCAGUUGCGAAGGCGGCUCUCUGGACCAGCACUGACGCUGAGGCGCGAAAGCUAGGGGAGCAAACAGG
Molecule: ribosomal RNA, 254 nt
Filed under: uncultured bacterium
Lineage: Bacteria
Description: partial 16S ribosomal RNA
Rfam family: Bacterial small subunit ribosomal RNA
Source: RNAcentral